CUCACCCCGCGUAACCCCACCCUUUUCUUUUCUGAAUCGGGACAUACUGCCAACACCCUCUUGACCAAGCGUAGUCGGAGGAUAAAAUGAAAUGACAAAGAGAUGGAGGACCUCUUAAAAUCCCGCGAAUUCCUCCAGCAGCAAAUCGCCACCACGGAAGCUCAGCUCUCCCAACUCAAUGCUGCGCUCGAGCGGACUGAGCGGCAGAUCGCGGUGGGGAGGCCAACAACAGCAACAACGACCACAAACCAGCCGGAAACUGUGAACAAGGGAGAAGCGCCAUCUGAACGGAAUCGCAGAUAUCCGCUCGAACAGGAUGAGUAUCGACGCUAUGGACGGCAGAUGAUUGUGGACCAGAUCGGGCUGGACGGGCAAUUAAAACUGCGCGAAUCCUCGGUUCUCAUUGUUGGCGCGGGGGGGUUGGGAUGCCCUGCUGCCAUGUAUCUGGCUGGAGCUGGGGUUGGAACCAUAGGAAUCAUAGAUGGAGAUACGGUCGAGGAAUCGAACCUGCAUCGACAGGUGUUGCAUCGGACGAGGAAUGUGGGGAAGUUCAAGGUUGAUAGCGCGAUUCAGUAUUUGAAAGAAUUGAACCCGUAUCCCAAAUACAUCCCCUACCGCGUCAACCUUACCCCCGCCGAUGCGCCUUCGAUCUUCAGUCCCUACGAUCUCAUCCUCGACUGCACAGACAACCCCGCAACCCGCUACCUGAUCUCCGACACCGCUGUCGUCCUAGGCAAACCACUCGUCUCCGCCUCCGCGCUUCGCACCGAGGGCCAGCUAAUGGUCCUCAACUACCCUCCCCAAAAGCCAGCAGACCAACUAUCCGCCUUGCCAACCGAAACCACCACCGGAGGACCGUGCUACCGCUGUGUGUUCCCUAAACCCCCUCCCGCCGCGAGCGUCACGAGCUGCGCCGACGGCGGCAUCCUCGGCCCCGUCGUCGGAGUCAUGGGCGUCCUCCAAGCGCUCGAGGCGAUCCGCGUCCUCACGCAGACAACGUCAGCCACGUCCACAACAAUAUCACCAACCCUUCAUCUCUUCUCGGCCUUCUCUAGCCCUCCAUUCCGCAGUAUACGGCUGCGCCAACGGCGACAGGACUGCGCCGCUUGCUCGCCGACGGCGCGGACGAUAAC
Molecule: small RNA, 1133 nt
Filed under: Histoplasma capsulatum var. duboisii H88
Lineage: Eukaryota; Fungi; Ascomycota; Eurotiomycetes; Onygenales; Ajellomycetaceae
Description: Histoplasma capsulatum H88 hypothetical RNA
Source: RNAcentral